RNAcentral lists this ribosomal RNA (385 nucleotides) under uncultured bacterium. RNAcentral describes it as "bacterial SSU rRNA". It matches the Rfam family "Bacterial small subunit ribosomal RNA", at positions 440 to 842 of the family's 1533-position model. The record is from RNAcentral.
CUGUGAAGAUGAUGACGGUAGCAGAGGAGGAAGCUCCGGCUAACUACGUCCCAGCAGCCGCGGUAAUACGUAGGGAGCGAGCGUUGUCCGGAUUUACUGGGUGUAAAGGGUGCGUAGGCGGCUGUGCAAGUCAGUAGUGAAAUCCAUGGGCUUAACCCAUGAACUGCUAUUGAAACUGCACAGCUUGAGUGAAGUAGAGGUAGGCGGAAUUCCCGGUGUAGCGGUGAAAUGCGUAGAGAUCGGGAGGAACACCAGUGGCGAAGGCGGCCUACUGGGCUUUAACUGACGCUGAGGCACGAAAGCGUGGGUAGCAAACAGGAUUAGAUACCCUGGUAGUCCACGCUGUAAACGAUGAUUACUAGGUGUGGGGGGACUGAACCCUUCC